RNAcentral lists this long non-coding RNA (15836 nucleotides) under Gossypium raimondii (Peruvian cotton). RNAcentral describes it as "long non-coding RNA (GRAI_LNC007620)". The record is from RNAcentral. Lineage: Eukaryota; Viridiplantae; Streptophyta; Magnoliopsida; Malvales; Malvaceae.
UGCUGGGCCGGCCUGUUGGACUGCUGGGCAAACUGGGCCUGGCGCUGUGGGCCUUCUGGGCUGGUCUGCUGCUGCCUAGAUGCCUGCUGGGCCUUUGCUGGAAAUGGGCUGCUGUUGGCCUGCUAACAAAAAUGGCCUGCUGUGUUUUUUUUUUGCUGUUUGCUAUUUUUUUAGGGGCUACUAUUUUUUUGGGCUGCUGGGCUGCUGUUUUUUAUUUGGGCUGCUGGGCUGAUGCGGGUCGGGCCUGGUGCGGGUUGGGUCAGGUCGACCCGACUGAUGGUAUGUUUUUCUUUUUCUUUUUUUCUAUUUUAUUUCCCUUUUUCCUUCUUUUUCUUUCUUUUUUCUUCCUUUUUUUCUUUCUUUUUUCUUUCUUCUUCGGGUCACCCCUAGCCCUUUUUUGCGCCGUCAACGACGGUCCCUCCGUCCGGUGGUGCGGUGACUGGCGCGCCUCCCUUCUCUUCCUCUCUCUCUCUUUUCUUUCUUCUCUUCUUUCUUUUCUUUCUUCUCUUCCUUCUUUUUGGCUGCUGUUUUUUUGCUUGCUAUUUUUAUAUUUUUUGCUUGUUGCUUUGUUUUGCUAGGUGUUGGCAAUGGUGGUGUAGGGCGGUGGACACGGUGGCGCUACGACGACGGUGGCUGCAGAAGGAAUCGGCCGAAUGGGAGUGUUUUUUUUUGCUUGAAAUCUUGCUUUUUUUUUUUUUUGCUUUCGUUCACAACAAUUUAUUUUGAACCCCCUCUUCCUCUCAUCUUCUUCUUUUAAAUCCUUCAAUUUUGUCUUCUUUCCUUUGUUUUCAGGUGGUAGGGGAACAUCAUUGGCCUAGGGAGGCUGCUGGAGUAGCUGGAGGUGGGUGAAGCACGCUUGGCUGCCGACUGGCAGAUUUGACAUGUCUAGGGGGACCAAAUUGUAAAGGGUGUAAAGUUUAUGGGGCAAAAGUGCAAUUUUAGCAAAAAUAUGGGCCAAAAUGUAAUUUCUUGAGAGUUUAGGGGUUAAAGGGAAAUUUUAAGAAAAUUUAAGGGCCGAAAUGUAAUUUUAGAAAAUUUUGGGUCAAAAUGUGAAUUUUAAAAAAAAUUUAGGGUCAAAAUGGAAAUUUCAAAAAGUAUAGGGGUUAAACUGUAAUUUUUAUUUUUUGCUUUUUUUUUCAAAAUUUUAUUAUUACUAAUUUAUUAAUAUUUAAAACAAAAAUUAAAACAAUUAAAAAUGAGCUAAAACAAACCCAAAAUUUAAUCCUAAUGGGCCCAACCAUCGGGCCCAUAUGAGACCAGCCCGGCCCGAAAUUCUACCCGGGCAAAAUUCAGUGAUUACAGCUGCCCCUCUUUGCUCAUCUCUGUGAAACAGAGAUAGAGCAAAGAUUUAAAAGCACUGAAUUUUGCUCGAUUGUUCCAUUUUUUGUCUAUAUUUUUUGAAAGCCUGAAAUUGAAAAUAGCUUGGUGUGCGAUCCUAAGUUCACUCACUUCUCAGAUUGUGAGUUGACCUUUGAAAAAUAGAUAUUGAAAGUACCUCAGCGUAACCCGAGGCUCAACGCACCUCUCGCAUUAUGAGUUAAUUUUUUUUGAAAAACGGAAAUUUAAAAGAAAUACCCCGGCAUGUGACCUAAGGCUCAACUCACCUCUUGCAAUAUGAGUUGGUUUUUGUGAAAACCAAAAAUUGAAAAAUACCUCGACAUGACUCGAUGCUCAACUCACAUCUCGCAAUAUGAGUUGAUUUUUGAAAAACAGAAAUUUAAAAUACCUCAGCGUGCGACCCGAGACUCAACUCACCUCUCGCAAUAUGAGUUGAUUUUUGAAAAACAGAAAUUGAAAAUACCUCAGGAUGACCCGAGGCUCAACUCACCUCUCGCAAUAUGAGUUGAUUUUUGAAAAACAGAAAUUUAAAAUACCUCAGCGUGUGACCCGAGGUUCAAUUCACCUCUCGCAAUAUGAGUUGAUUUUUGAAAAACAGAAAUUGAAAAUACCUCAGGAUGACCCGAGGCUCAACUCACCUCUCGCAAUAUGAGUUGAUUUUUGAAAAACAGAAAUUUAAAAUACCUCAGCGUGCGACCCGAGGCUCAACUCACCUCUCGCAAUAUGAGUUGAUUUUUGAAAAACAGAAAUUGAAAAUACCUCAGGAUGACCCGAGGCUCAACUCACCUCUCGUAUUGUGAGUUGAUUUUUGAAAAAAAAAAUUUAAAAGAAAUACCUCGGCGUGACCCGAGGCUCAACUCACCUCUCGCAAUAUGAGUUGAUUUUUUUGAAAAACAGCAAUUUAAAAAUACCUCAGCGUGACCCGAGGCUCAACUCACCUCUCGUAUUAUGAGUUGAUUUUUGAAAAACAAAAAUUGAAAAAUAUAAUUCUUGAAAGAAACAGGGUUUCAAAACAUCAGGUGAAACUAAAGCCUUCUUCUUCGUUGAUUCUGUGCAACUUUCUCUCAGUAUUCCCUGCUCUACUAAGAUACCUGUAUAUGUCAUGUAUGAUGUUAUUAUGAUAUGCACGUGUUUGUCCUAAAUGCUUUCGUGUCUACAUGAUCAUGCCAUGCACCCUAGGCUGUUUGUCACAUGCCCCACUUUUGAUUUUCGUGAGGUUCCGCAUUCAUUUCCUCAAUUCCUGACUUUUCUCUCCAGUUUUGUACUCAUCCUCAAGUUCUGUGAGUAAUUCACAUUUCUCCACAUAUCACUCUCUUGCCCCAUGCUGAACAUUGUUCCUGCUUUCGGGCCCUUGUACUUGUCAAAUUCUCAUCCAGGUAAUGUUCAACAUUUCUUUUGUUUAGAGUAUAUCAUCUUACUAUUUAUCAUUUAAAUGAAUCAAACACGAGAUGCAUGGAAAAAAUGGCAAAGUAGGCAUGAAAGAAAAACCUCGCAUUCAUUUCAUUUUUAAAAGAAAGCAACAAACAAAGGAAAUUGACAAAGAAAGUUUAACAAAUAAAACGUCAUAAAGAAAAGAAAGCGAAUUCAAUGGCCAGAAAUGCUCUAGAUAUCCAAUGCAUGAACUUCUCCACGUUUCUUUGUCCUGGAUCCAUUCAAGCACGGUUUCUUGUCUAGAAGGUUUCGAGCUUCUGAGAAUGCUUCAAAUAUUGCAACUUCGUCAUUCAACUCACUGUUCAAGUCAUCUUGCACCUUAAGUUCGAGCUCAUUUCAUUAGGACGCCCUUUCGGGUUUUCAUCCUAAUCCUUUUUGUUUAUCAAGACGCCCUUUUUCGAGUUUUCAUCUUGAUUUUUCUUCUUUUUUUUACUUUUUUGCUUUUUUGUUUUUUUUUUUGUUUUUUUAUUUUUUUGUUGUUUUUCUCUCUCUUUUUUUUAGGCAUAAUAUUUCUUCACAGCAUCUGAGUUCACUGGAUUAGGUAAUUCUUUCCCGUCCAUCUCAGUGAGAAUCAGAGCCCCUCCUGAGAAUGCCCUCUUUACAACGUAUGAUCCUUCCCAAUUUGGUGACCAUUUUCCUAGAAAAUCCUUCUGUAUCGGGAGAAUCUUUCUCAGUACGAGCUCUCCUUCGCGAAAUUCUCUUGGCCGCACCUUUUUAUCAUGGGCCGUAAUCAUUCUCUUCUGGUACAUCUGUCCAUGACAAAUUGCCUUCAAGCGUUUCCCUUCAAUAAGGUUUAGCUGAUCAUAUCGAGCUCGAACCCACUCUGAUUCCUCUAACCUUGUCUUCAUCAAGACGCGCAGGGAUGGGAUCUCUACUUCGAUAGGCAGAAUGGCUUCCAUUCCAUAGACCAGAGAAAAAGGAGUUGCCCCCGUAGACGUCCGUACCGAGGUGCGAUAUGCGUACAAAGCGAAUGGUAGUUUAUCGUGCCAGUCUUUAUAUGUCUCAGUCAUCUUCCCAAUAAUCCUCUUAAUGUUCUUAUUAGCGGCUUCUACUGCUCCGUUCAUUUUUGGGCGAUAGGGCAAAAAAUUAUGAUGUUUUAUUUGGAAUUGCUCACAUACUUCUUUCAUCAUCUUGUUGUUCAAAUUUAAAGCAUUAUCUGAAAUGAUUCUUUCGGGUAGACCAUAUCGACAUAUAAUCUCCUUUUUUAAGAACCUACAGACUGCAGCCUUUGUCACAUUAGCAAACGAAGUGGCUUCUACCCAUUUUGUGAAGUAGUCUAUAACCACAAAGAUGAAUCGAUGCCCAUUGGAAGCUUUCGGGGAAAUUGGCCCUAUAACAUCCAUGCCCCACAUAGAAAAAGGCCACGGAGAAGUCAUGACAUGAAGGGGCGACGGAGCUGCAUGAAUUUUGUCGCCAUAAAUUUGACAUUUGUGGCACUUUCGUGCGUAACCAAUGCAAUCCCUUUCCAUCGUCAGCCAAUAAUAACCAAGUCUCAUAAUCUGCCUGGCCAUGGUGAAACCACUGGUAUGUGUUCCACAAAUUCCUUCAUGAACCUCUUCAAGUAUCUUUCUAGCUUCAACAGCGUCCACGCACCUCAGGAGCACUUGAUCUUUUCCCCUUUUGUAUAGAAUAUCCCCGUCAAGAACAAAUCCAAUCGCCAUUCUCCUGAUUGUUCUUUUGUCAUUCUCGUUUGUUUGCUCGGGGUACCUUUGAUUCUUGAUAUACUCCAAGAUAUCAUGGAACCAUGGUCGUCCAUCUGACUCCUCCUCAGUACUAAAACAGUGUGCAGGGGUCUCAUAUAUACUCAUUUGGAUAGGCAUUAUCUCAGUUUCUCUGUUUGCCUUGAACAUCGAAGCCAAGGUGGCUAGGGUAUCAGCUAGUUGGUUCUCUUCUUGUGGAAAGUAGUUAAAAGUCACUUCUCUGAAUUCUUUGACCAAUCUCGCAAUGAGAUCGUGAUACUUGACUAAUUUUGGAUCUCUCACUUCCCAAUCUCCACGAAUUUGAUAAAUGACUAAUGCUGAGUCCCCGUGCACUUCUAAGAUUUUGAUUUUCCUCUCGAUAGCUGCACGAAGCCCCAUGAUGCAAGCUUCAUAUUCCGCUAUAUUAUUGGUACAGAAGAAGUUCAAUCUGGCAGUGAGCGGGUAAUGAUUUCCUUCCGGUGACACCAAGACUGCUCCGAUCCCAUGCCCCAACGCAUUUGAUGCGCCAUCGAAGCUCAUCUUCCAUGAUUUCUCUUUUGAUGACUCACCCUUUUUUUCUGAAAUUCACAUCAAAUCUUCAUCUGGGAAAUCAAAUCUCAAAGGCUCGUAUUCCUCCGUUGUUCGACUUGCCAAGAAGUCAGCUAUUGCGCUUCACUUUAUCGACUUUUGGGUCACAUAUACAAUGUCAUAUUCAGUCAAUAGGAUCUACCAUCGGGCCAUUCUCCUUGAGAGUGCAUGUGACUCCAUCAUGUACUUUAUUGGGUCCAGUUUCGAAAUUAACCAUGUCGUAUGAUACAACAUGUAUUGUCUGAGCCUUCGAACAGUCCAAAUCAACGCACAACAAAAUUUUUCAAUUGAAGGGUACUUUGCCUCAUACUCUGUGAACUUCUUGCUCAGGUAGUAAAUUGCCUUUUCUUUUUUCCCUGACUCAUCAUGUUGUCCCAGUACGCAACCCAUUGAGUUCUCAAACACGGUCAGGUAUAAUAUUAAGGGUUUUUCAGGGGUUGGCGGUACUAGUACCGGAGGAUUAGACAAAUACCGUUUUAUCUUAUCGAAGGCCGCUUGGCACUCCUCGUUCCAUUCUCCGGGGUUAUGUUUUCGAAGGAGUCGAAAAAUUGGGUCGCACUGAUUGGUAAGUUGAGCAAUGAAUCGAGCAAUGUAAUUCAACCUUCCUAAAAAUCCUCUGACUUCUUUCUGUGUGCGCGGGGGAGGCAGUUCUUGUAUAGCUUUUAUCUUGUUUGGAUCAACCUCGAUACCUCUUUCACUAACAAUGAAACCUAGCAGUUUUUCUGAGGUAGCCCCAAACGUACAUUUGGCCGGGUUAAGCUUCAACUGGAACUUUCUUAAUCUUUCAAACAGCUUCCUAAGACUCCCAACAUGCUCUCUUUCUUCCCGAGAUUUGGCAAUCAUAUCAUCGACAAAAACUUCAAUUUCUUUGUGCAUCAUAUCAUGGAAUAACGUCACCAUGGCUCUCUGAUAUGUUGCCCCAGCAUUCUUUAAUCCGAACGGCAUUACCUUAUAGCAGAAGGUUCCCCACAUUGUUAUGAAUGUAGUUUUCUCCAUGUCCUCGGGAGCCAUCUUUACUUGAUUAUAACUUGAGAAGCCAUCCAUGAAAUAAAAUAGAGAAUGUUUACCGUAUUAUCUACCAAAGUGUCGAUGUGUGGCAAAAGAAAGUUAUCCUUAGGGCUUGCUUGAUUCAGAUCACGAUAAUCUACGCACAUUCGCACCUUGCCAUCUUUCUUCGGCACUGGGACUAUGUUAGCCACCCACUCUGGAUAUUUGGAGACUUGUAGGAAGCCAUCGUCAAAUUGUUUCUUGACUUCUUCUUUUAUCUUUAACAGCAUUUCAGGUCUCAUCCUUCUUAACUUCUGUUGAACGAACUUGCAUUCUGGUUUCAGUGGGAGCUUAUGAACCACCACAUCCUCAUUCAACCCUGGCAUGUCCUGAUACGACUAGGCGAAUACAUCUUUGUACUCACAGAGCAAGGCGAUCAAAUUCUGUUUGGUGUUAUCUGAAAUGGAAAUCUCAAUAUUCACUUCUUGUUUCUUUUCUUCACUUCCCAAGUUCACUGUCUCAACAGAUUCUUGAUGGGGUAGAAUCUAUUUCUUUUCUUGUUCAACCAUUCUCAGUAAGUCAGGAGGCGAGACACAAUCUUCAGCAUCUUCCUCGGCUUCAAAUUCUCCUAAACAAACAGCCUUCUCAAAAUCGAUUUCAGGACUUGUAACGGGAUUGUUCAUGUCAUGAAUAUCUGAGCACUUGAAAGGCGGAUAGAAAAGACUGCUAUAGGAGAGCAUCAAAGUAUUGGAAUCAACAAACACAAUGUUAUGGAAUGAGAUAUAUGGAGAGAAAGGAUAUGAAGCGAUGAGGGUAAUUAUGAAACUGAUUCUGUGCAACUUUCUCUCAGUAUUCCCUGCUCUACUAAGAUACCUGUAUAUGUCAUGUAUGAUGUUAUUAUGAUAUGCACGUGUUUGUCCUAAAUGCUUUCGUGUCUACAUGAUCAUGCCAUGCACCCUAGGCUGUUUGUCACAUGCCCCACUUUUGAUUUUCGUGAGGUUCCGCAUUCAUUUCCUCAAUUCCUGACUUUUCUCUCCAGUUUUGUACUCAUCCUCAAGUUCUGUGAGUAAUUCACAUUUCUCCACAUAUCACUCUCUUGCCCCAUGCUGAACAUUGUUCCUGCUUUCGGGCCCUUGUACUUGUCAAAUUCUCAUCCAGGUAAUGUUCAACAUUUCUUUUGUUUAGAGUAUGUCAUCUUACUAUUUAUCAUUUAAAUGAAUCAAACACGAGAUGCAUGGAAAAAAUGGCAAAGUAGGCAUGAAAGAAAAACCUCACAUUCAUUUCAUUUUUAAAAGAAAGCAACAAACAAAGGAAAUUGACAAAGAAAGUUUAACAAAUAAAACGUCAUAAAGAAAAGAAAGCGAAUUCAAUGGCCAGAAAUGCUCUAGAUAUCCAAUGCAUGAACUUCUCCAUGUUUCUUUGUCCUGGAUCCAUUCAAGCACGGUUUCUUGUCUAGAAGGUUUUGAGCUUCUGAGAAUGCUUCAAAUAUUGCAACUUCGUCAUUCAACUCACUGUUCAAGUCAUCUUGCACCUUAAGUUCGAGCUCAUUUCAUUAGGACGCCCUUUCGGGUUUUCAUCCUAAUCCUUUUUGUUUAUCAAGACGCCCUUUUUCGAGUUUUCAUCUUGAUUUUUCUUCUUUUUUUUACUUUUUUGCUUUUUUGUUUUUUUUGUUUUUUUAUUUUUUUGUUGUUUUUUUUCUCUUUUUUUUAGGCAUAAUAUUUCUUCACAGCAUCUGAGUUCACUGGAUUAGGUAAUUCUUUCCCGUCCAUCUCAGUGAGAAUCAGAGCCCCUCCUGAGAAUGCCCUCUUUACAACGUAUGAUCCUUCCCAAUUUGGUGACCAUUUUCCUAGAAAAUCCUUCUGUAUCGGGAGAAUCUUUCUCAGUACGAGCUCUCCUUCGCGAAAUUCUCUUGGCCGCACCUUUUUAUCAUGGGCCGUAAUCAUUCUCUUCUGGUACAUCUGUCCAUGACAAAUUGCCUUCAAGCGUUUCCCUUCAAUAAGGUUUAGCUGAUCAUAUCGAGCUCGAACCCACUCUGAUUCCUCUAACCUUGUCUUCAUCAAGACGCGCAGGGAUGGGAUCUCUACUUCGAUAGGCAGAAUGGCUUCCAUUUCAUAGACCAGAGAAAAAGGAGUUGCCCCCGUAGACGUCUGUACCGAGGUGCGAUAUGCGUACAAAGCGAAUGGUAGUUUAUCGUGCCAGUCUUUAUAUGUCUCAGUCAUCUUCCCAAUAAUCCUCUUAAUGUUCUUAUUAGCGGCUUCUACUGCUCCAUUCAUCUUUGGGCGAUAGGGCAAAAAAUUAUGAUGUUUUAUUUGGAAUUGCUCACAUACUUCUUUCAUCAUCUUGUUGUUCAAAUUUAAAGCACUAUCUGAAAUGAUUCUUUCGGGUAGACCAUAUCGACAUAUAAUCUCCUUUUUUAAGAACCUACAGACUGCAGCCUUUGUCACAUUAGCAAACGAAGUGGCUUCUACCCAUUUUGUGAAGUAGUCUAUAACCACAAAGAUGAAUCGAUGCCCAUUGGAAGCUUUCGGGGAAAUUGGCCUUAUAACAUCCAUGCCCCACAUAGAAAAAGGCCACGGAGAAGUCAUGACAUGAAGGGGCGACGGAGCUGCAUGAAUUUUGUCGCCAUAAAUUUGACAUUUGUGGCACUUUCGUGCGUAACCAAUGCAAUCCCUUUCCAUCGUCAGCCAAUAAUAACCAAGUCUCAUAAUCUGCCUGGCCAUGGUGAAACCACUGGCAUGUGUUCCACAAAUUCCUUCAUGAACCUCUUCAAGUAUCUUUCUAGCUUCAACAGCGUCCACGCACCUCAGGAGCACUUGAUCUUUUCCCCUUUUGUAUAGAAUAUCCCCGUCAAGAACAAAUCCAAUCGCCAUUCUCCUGAUUGUUCUUUUGUCAUUCUCGUUUGUUUGCUCGGGGUACCUUUGAUUCUUGAUAUACUCCAAGAUAUCAUGGAACCAUGGUCGUCCAUCUGACUCCUCCUCAGUACUAAAACAGUGUGCAGGGGUCUCAUAUAUACUCAUUUGGAUAGGCAUUAUCUCAGUUUCUCUGUUUGCCUUGAACAUCGAAGCCAAGGUGGCUAGGGCAUCAGCUAGUUGGUUCUCUUCUUGUGGAAAGUAGUUAAAAGUCACUUCUCUGAAUUCUUUGACCAAUCUCGCAAUGAGAUCGUGAUACUUGACUAAUUUUGGAUCUCUCACUUCCCAAUCUCCACGAAUUUGAUAAAUGACUAAUGCUGAGUCCCCGUGCACUUCUAAGAUUUUGAUUUUCCUCUCGAUAGCUGCACGAAGCCCCAUGAUGCAAGCUUCAUAUUCCGCUAUAUUAUUGGUACAGAAGAAGUUCAAUCUGGCAGUGAGCGGGUAAUGAUUUCCUUCCGGUGACACCAAGACUGCUCCGAUCCCAUGCCCCAACGCAUUUGAUGCGCCAUCGAAGCUCAUCUUCCAUGAUUUCUCUUUUGAUGACUCACCCUUUUUUUCUGAAAUUCACAUCAAAUCUUCAUCUGGGAAAUCAAAUCUCAAAGGCUCGUAUUCCUCCGUUGUUCGACUUGCCAAGAAGUCAGCUAUUGCGCUUCACUUUAUCGACUUUUGGGUCACAUAUACAAUGUCAUAUUCAGUCAAUAGGAUCUACCAUCGGGCCAUUCUCCUUGAGAGUGCAUGUGACUCCAUCAUGUACUUUAUUGGGUCCAGUUUCGAAAUUAACCAUGUCGUAUGAUACAACAUGUAUUGUCUGAGCCUUCGAACAGUCCAAAUCAACGCACAACAAAAUUUUUCAAUUGAAGGGUACUUUGCCUCAUACUCUGUGAACUUCUUGCUCAGGUAGUAAAUUGCCUUUUCUUUUUUCCCUGACUCAUCAUGUUGUCCCAGUACGCAACCCAUUGAGUUCUCAAACACGGUCAGGUAUAAUAUUAAGGGUUUUUCAGGGGUUGGCGGUACUAGUACCGGAGGAUUAGACAAAUACCGUUUUAUCUUAUCGAAGGCCGCUUGGCACUCCUCGUUCCAUUCUCCGGGGUUAUGUUUUCGAAGGAGUCGAAAAAUUGGGUCGCACUGAUUGGUAAGUUGAGCAAUGAAUCGAGCAAUGUAAUUCAACCUUCCUAAAAAUCCUCUGACUUCUUUCUGUGUGCGCGGGGGAGGCAGUUCUUGUAUAGCUUUUAUCUUGUUUGGAUCAACCUCGAUACCUCUUUCACUAACAAUGAAACCUAGCAGUUUUUCUGAGGUAGCCCCAAACGUACAUUUGGCCGGGUUAAGCUUCAACUGGAACUUUCUUAAUCUUUCAAACAGCUUCCUAAGACUCCCAACAUGCUCUCUUUCUUCCCGAGAUUUGGCAAUCAUAUCAUCGACAUAAACUUCAAUUUCUUUGUGCAUCAUAUCAUGGAAUAACGUCACCAUGGCUCUCUGAUAUGUUGCCCCAGCAUUCUUUAAUCCGAACGGCAUUACCUUAUAGCAGAAGGUUCCCCACAUUGUUAUGAAUGUAGUUUUCUCCAUGUCCUCGGGAGCCAUCUUUACUUGAUUAUAACUUGAGAAGCCAUCCAUGAAAUAAAAUAGAGAAUAUUUGCCGUAUUAUCUACCAAAGUGUCGAUGUGUGGCAAAAGAAAGUUAUCCUUAGGGCUUGCUUGAUUCAGAUCACGAUAAUCUACGCACAUUCGCACCUUGCCAUCUUUCUUCGGCACUGGGACUAUGUUAGCCACCCACUCUGGAUAUUUGGAGACUUGUAGGAAGCCAUCGUCAAAUUGUUUCUUGACUUCUUCUUUUAUCUUUAACAGCAUUUCAGGUCUCAUCCUUCUUAACUUCUGUUGAACGAACUUGCAUUCUGGUUUCAGUGGGAGCUUAUGAACCACCACAUCCUCAUUCAACCCUGGCAUGUCCUGAUACGACCAGGCGAAUACAUCUUUGUACUCACAGAGCAAGGCGAUCAAAUUCUGUUUGGUGUUAUCUGAAAUGGAAAUCUCAAUAUUCACUUCUUGUUUCUUUUCUUCACUUCCCAAGUUCACUGUCUCAACAGAUUCUUGAUGGGGUAGAAUCUGUUUCUUUUCUUGUUCAACCAUUCUCAGUAAGUCAGGAGGCGAGACACAAUCUUCAGCAUCUUCCUCGGCUUCAAAUUCUCCUAAACAAACAGCCUUCUCAAAAUCGAUUUCAGGACUUGUAACGGGAUUGUUCAUGCCAUGAAUAUCUGAGCACUUGAAAGGCGGAUAGAAAAGACUGCUAUAGGAGAGCAUCAAAGUAUUGGAAUCAACAAACACAAUGUUAUGGAAUGAGAUAUAUGGAGAGAAAGGAUAUGAAGCGAUGAGGGUAAUUAUGAAACUGAUAGAAAUGAAAAGAUCAUGACAAAAUGCAUCUUCAUUAAUGUUCAUUGAAAUGAUAAAGAGCAAACAUAAGCUCUUACAAAAGGAAUCCCACUAUUUAGGGGCACACAAAAUAAAUGGAGAAGUAACAUUGGGCAUUACUCUGGAGAGGACUUAGAAACUACAAGAAGGCCCACAGCAGUCCAAUUGUUCAAAACAUAUCCUGGAAGACAAGGGUGUAUCAUUGAAACAUCCUCAAUUGUAUCACUCUCGUUGAGCUCAGCAUCCAUAGUUCUAGCUCUUAAAUGCGUUCUAUAAGAAUGACGUGAUUCCAGACUUGUAGUGUCACAAUUGUGGAUUAUGCGAUUCCAGCCUUAGUGAAUGGUUAGGGUGAUAUGUACAUACAAUGAAUGAAUGAAUGAAUGAAUAACCAAUGGAUGCUAGUCAUGCGUAAAUAUGCAAAAAAUGGUGUUUAUUUCAAGAUAGCCCCAUAUUUUGGCGUUUCAAUUAUCAAAAGAGUCGAUUACAAAAUAUUUUGUCGAUGAAGAUGCUCAUAGUGUUUGAGUCUCAUUGUUUCCAGAUCCUAGUCAAGUCUUCGAGGUUAUUCUGUAAAGCAUUCGAAGUCAUAUGCUCAGGAAGAUCGGAGAUAUAUCUUUCUUUUAAACUAUCCCCUUUUGCUUUUUGGGUCCUCAAAGACCAGUCUCGGACUACGGUAUUUUUCUCGGUUACUUGUGUAAUUGACUCCUCCAUCAGAAACCCGUUUUUGGCAACCAAUCUCUAAUCAACACCUUCCUAAUGAGAUGUCUACGGUGCAUUAUGAAAAAUAAAAUAAAGAACAAAUAAUCUUGGUUAGAGAUCACAACAUAUAUAAACAGAAGAAAAAAGAAAAAUAAAGACUAUGGAAAAUUUAACAAAUUAAGUUAUUCAAUCAUGCAAUUUGGUGAAACGGACUGGCAUUUUUUUUUUGCCCCAACAUGCUUUACAAGAAACCUACGCCACAUACCAUCAAACAAUCUACCCGACCCAAUUUAUUAAAUAGACCCAAUUCAUUCGCAAAUAAGUGUAAAUGUAAAAGAAAUAAAAGGUAAGAGGCGUUUCUCCCGUGUACUUAUUUUGGUAACUAUCAAACGGACAGAGGUUCGGCAUGGCUCUAAUUGGGUGGCUCGUACGGUUCACUAUAUGUGGUUUUGGUUAUAGAAAGGUACUUGAAUUGUCCAUACUGUCACCUACUAAGGUUAGUACGGAGCCUCGGUUAUCGCCCGUCAUGGGCUUGCGAGUUCAAUUCGAGGGAUUACAUUUACUUAUGCCUAUGCGGAGGGACAAGUUAACUCACGAAAGCAGAAGUCAUAUGUAACCCGGAAAUAAUUACUAGCCUGUGCGGAGGGACGAGUUAGCUCACGAAGGCGUAGCGUUUACUUCCACUUAAACGGACGGAGCCUGGGUAGAGAGCUCAUGUUAUGCAAAAAAUGCAAGUGCACGGUGUGCGAGGAGAAACUCACAAACCUUUUAAAUUUUAUUUUUUACUAAAAUAACUAAAAAAACGUAAAACUUAAAGCUGAAAAAAAACAGAAAGACAAAACAAGUUAGAAAAAUAUUAAUUAAAAAAACCGAAUGCAAAUGCAUGACUUUUCAAAAAAUAAAAUUCAAGGAUCACGAUUAAAAAUUAAUUUGAACAAAGGAUUUUAAAAAUUUGACAACACGCGUUUAACAUCAGACUCGACUCUCAAAAACAUUUUGUCCCCAAUGGAGUCGCCAGCUGUAGCGACUUAAAAAUUUCAGGCACGGGCGCUAAUCGAAAUGAUUGUUGAAAAUUUGAAAACGGAGUUUAGAUUUUAUUUGCAAAAGGAGUCGCCACCGAUAUUUUUUUAGGUGUGAUCGGACACCUAAUAAAUUCUCUUUUUAGAAGAAAAAUUUAUUUUUAAAUUUUCCUAAAAAAGAGGUAAUUUUAGGUCUGCGUGAAAAUCCAGAGAAAAUUAGGGUUCGGGAGUCAGUUACGCGCGAGGAAGGUAUUAGCACCCUCGCGACGCCCAAAAUUGGUAUCUCGUUAAACGCGCGUUGUCUUAAUUUUCAAAAAUACAAGUUCAAUUUAAUAUUUAAUUGUGAUCCGAUUGAAACUUGAGAAAACUUUUUUUCUUUUUAAACACGAGAACUUUGAAACACAAUAAUAAUUUUUGAAAACACGAAGAUUUUUGAAACACGAAAAUUUUUUGAAAACACGGAAUUUUUUUGAAAACAAGGAAAUUUUCGAUACAUGAGAAUUUUUUGACACGAAAAAUUUUGAAAACACGAAAAUUUCGAAAACAUAAUUUUUUUUAAAAACAUGAAUUUUUUUUAAAAAAACACGAGAAUUUUUUGAAAACACCAAAACAUGAAAUUUUUGAAAACACGGGAACUUUUUUGAAAACACGAAAAUUUUUGAAACAUGAGAAUUUUUUGACACUAAAAAUUUUGAAAACACGAAAAUUUCGAAAACAUGAAUUUUUUAAAAAUACGAAUUUUUUUAAAAACACGAGAAAUUUUUUGAAAACAUGAAAACAUGAAAAUUUUGAAAACAUGAAAAUUUUUGAAACACGAGAAUUUUUUUUGAAAACACGAAAACACGAAAAUUUUUUUAAAACACGAGAAUUUUUGAAAACACGAAAUUUUUUUUAUUCACGAGAAUUGUUGAAACACGGAAUUUUUUUAAGAAGUACCGUAUUUAACACGAAUCAAUGAUAUUCAUCCCUACAUGGUGAUGAAAUCAUCGAAUUAGUGCAAAAUCGAUUCAACUUAAUAUUUAAUCGUGAUUUUAUUAAAACACGAGAAUUUAAAAAAACACGAGAAUUUUAGAAUAUUUUCGAUUUUUUUUNNNNNNNNNNNNNNNNNNNNNNNNNNNNNNNNNNNNNNNNNNNNNNNNNNNNNNNNNNNNNNNNNNNNNNNNNNNNNNNNNNNNNNNNNNNNNNNNNNNNAACAAUUUAAUGUUAAAUUGAUUCGUUGCCUUAUUUAUUGAAAUUACUUAAAAUAAAAUAAAAUUGAAAUUGAAUUAAAUUAAAAAUAUAAAUGCAAAAAUAUAAAAAUGCAUAAAAGUACAAAUAAUACUAAAACGGAAUAGCAUAAAAAUACGGGUAUUAAAUUAAAAGUGAAAUAAACAAAAUUACCAGAAAUAUCCAAAACACGAGUUUAGUCGAACGGGUUACCAAAUUGAACCCUUUUCUUUUUUUUUUUCUUCCUUUUUUUUCUGCUGCUGGGCCGGCCUGUUGGACUGCUGGGCAAACUGGGCCUGGCGCUGUGGGCCUUCUGGGCUGGUCUGCUGCUGCCUAGAUGCCUGCUGGGCCUUUGCUGGAAAUGGGCUGCUGUUGGCCUGCUAACAAAAAUGGCCUGCUGUGUUUUUUUUUGCUGUUUGCUAUUUUUUUAGGGGCUGCUAUUUUUUUGGGCUGCUGGGCUGCUGUUUUUUAUUUGGGCUGCUGGGCUGAUGCGGGUCGGGCCUGGUGCCGGUCGGGUCGGGUCGGGUCGACCCGACUGAUGGUAUGUUUUUCUUUUUUUCUAUUUUAUUUCCCUUUUUCCUUCUUUUUCUUUCUUUUUUCUUCCUUUUUUUCUUUCUUCUUCGGGUCACCCCUAGCCCUUUUUUGCGCCGUCAACGACGGUCCCUCCGUCCGGUGGUGCGGUGGCUGGCGCGCCUCCCUUCUCUUCCUCUCUCUCUCUUUUUCUUUCUUCUCUUCUUUCUUUUCUUUCUUCUCUUCCUUCUUUUUGGCCGCUGUUUUUUUGCUUGCUAUUUUUAUAUUUUUUGCUUGUUGCUUUGUUUUGCUAGGUGUUGGCAAUGGUGGUGUAGGGCGGUGGACACGGUAGCGCUACGACGACGGUGGCUGCAGAAGGAAUCGGCCGAAUGGGAGUGUUUUUUUUUUGCUUGAAAUCUUGCUGUUUUUUUUUUUGCUUUCGUUCACAACAAUUUUUUUUGAACCCCCUUCUUCCUCUCAUCUUCUUCUUUUAAAUCCUUCAAUUUUGUCUUCUUUCCUUUGUUUUCAGGUGGUAGGGGAACAUCAUUGGCCUAGGGAGGCUGCUGGAGUAGCUGGAGGUGGGUGAAGCACGCUUGGCUGCCGACUGGCAGAUUUGACAUGUCCAUGGGGACCAAAUUGUAAAGGGUGUAAAGUUUAUGGGGCAAAAGUGCAAUUUUAGCAAAAAUAUGGGCCAAAAUGUAAUUUCUUGAGAGUUUAGGGGUUAAAGGGCAAUUUUAAGAAAAUUUAAGGGCCGAAAUGUAAUUUUAGAAAAUUUUGGGUCAAAAUGUGAAUUUUAAAAAAAGUUUGGGGUCAAAAUGGAAAUUUCAAAAAGUAUUGGGGUUAAACUGUAAUUUUUAUUUUUUGCUUUUUUUUCAAAAUUUUAUUAUUACUAAUUUAUUAAUAUUUAAAACAAAAAUUAAAACAAUUAAAAAUGAGCUAAAACAAACUCAAAAUUUAAUCCUAAUGGGCCCAAUCAUCGGGCCCAUAUGAGACCAGCCCGGCCCGAAAUCCUACCCGGGCAAAAUUCAGUGAUUACAAAUAUAUGAUAGUGAUAUAAAUAGAAUAAAAUUA